Molecule: ribosomal RNA, 279 nt
Filed under: uncultured bacterium
Lineage: Bacteria
Description: partial 16S ribosomal RNA
Rfam family: Bacterial small subunit ribosomal RNA
Source: RNAcentral
UGCCAGCCGCCGCGGUAAUACGGAGGGUGCGAGCGUUAAUCGGAAUUACUGGGCGUAAAGCGCGCGUAGGCGGUUUGUUAAGUCGGAUGUGAAAGCCCCGGGCUCAACCUGGGAACUGCAUUCGAUACUGGCAGGCUUGAGUACAGGAGAGGGAGGUAGAAUUCCAUGUGUAGCGGUGAAAUGCGUAGAUAUGUGGAGGAAUACCGGUGGCGAAGGCGGCCUCCUGGCCUGAUACUGACGCUGAGGUGCGAAAGCGUGGGGAGCAAACAGGAUUAGAUA